Long non-coding RNA from Anoplopoma fimbria (sablefish), 530 nucleotides. RefSeq lists it as uncharacterized. The transcript is spliced from 5 exons. NCBI's taxonomy places the organism in Eukaryota, Metazoa, Chordata, Actinopteri, Perciformes, Anoplopomatidae. The record is from RefSeq and is a predicted model, not a curated record.
GAGUGACAGGAAGGUGAACAGAGUGAGCCAAUUAGACGUUGACUAUAACACACGUGGAGCUUGUUCACUCUGGACUUUACUACUGUGAUGGAAAACCUGCUGUGUAUCUGAAUGUGACCAAAGAAGAUUACGACACAGGACCGACAGAAAUAUCAUCUGCAAAUACAGCAGCAACAACUGAAACAACCUUCCCAUCAUGGACUCUGACAGAAACAGCGACUCCUUAUCUGUGGCAAAUGAUUGUUCGUUCCGUGAUUGGAUUCCUCUAUUUGACCACCAUGAUCGGCAUCACUGUCACCACCUGGAGAAAAGCUCGACAAAUAGAGGCGAACAGUCAUCAUUCAACACUGUGACCAACACCACCUGUCAAUUUAUGAUCGUUACAUGAAAACAGUCUUUUCAAAAUAAACUUCCAUUUUCAAAGUAGUUUUAGGCAACAAAAAUACUUAGUUAGGUUUAGUAAAAGAUGGUGAAAUACAUUUUAUAUUGUUAUUUGUGCUCAGCAGUGUUGUGAUUAAAGGAAUAUUUUA